This 253-nucleotide ribosomal RNA is filed under the name uncultured bacterium. Its description in RNAcentral is "partial 16S ribosomal RNA". It matches the Rfam family "Bacterial small subunit ribosomal RNA", at positions 524 to 776 of the family's 1533-position model. The record is from RNAcentral.
UACGUAGGGUGCGAGCGUUAAUCGGAAUUACUGGGCGUAAAGCGUGCGCAGGCGGUUCGUUGUGUCCGUCGUGAAAGCCCCGGGCUUAACCUGGGAACUGCGAUGGAAACUACGGAGCUGGAGUGUGGCAGAGGGAGGUAGAAUUCCACGUGUAGCGGUGAAAUGCGUAGAUAUGUGGAGGAAUACCGAUGGCGAAGGCAGCCUCCUGGGCCAACACUGACGCUCAUGCACGAAAGCGUGGGGAGCAAACAGG